AAAAACUUUGGAGAACACAGAACAACGAGUAGAUGUACGAUUGGUUAAUAAGUGGUCAGACAAAAAUAAUCUAACUAAAAAAUGUACUGGCGCAGAGACCUUAAUAGCAAGUCCCAAUUUCCAUAGUGCUUCAAUAUUCUCUGAGAAUUUGGUAGCUAUACAGAUGAAACAUUCACAGAUUGUGCUUGACAAACCAAUUUAUAUUGGUUUUGCUGUACUUGAACUCUCAAAAAGUCAUAUGUACGAUUUCCAUUACUCAAAAAUAAAACCAUUUUAUGGAAACCGCAUUAAGUUGUGCUAUACCGAUACUGAUAGCUUCGUAUAUAAUGUGCAUACAGAUGACAUUUACCAAGAUUUGAAGACUAACUUCUUAAAAUAUUUUGACACAAGCAAUUACAACCCAAAAAAUGAAUUUGGUUUACCUAUUGUUAAUAAAAAGAUUCCUGGUUUAUUCAAGGACGAAAUGGGUGGACAAAUAAUUAGAGAGUUUGUAGGAUUAAGGUCAAAGCUUUACUGUAUUAAAACCUUAAACAAAACAAUAAAAAAGGCGAAGGGUACCAAAAAAAAUGUAAUUAAUGGUUUGAGCGUAUCAGACUAUAAACAUGUGUUAUACAAUGGUGAUGUUGUUUACAAAAAAAAUGUUCUAUUUAAAUCAAUUAAACAUGAAAUUUUCACUCAAAAAGUAAAUAAAAUAGCUCUUUCUAGCAACGAUGAUAAGCGAUUGUUAGAAUCUGACAAAGUGACUACCCUUGCUUGGGGUCAUAAAUCAAUUUUUGGCUGUACUGCUUAAGGUGAUUCUUUCAAGGUCAAUUGUUCUUCGCAGUGGGAGGAAUUGUAGUCGUUUAUGUAGCAGAUUCAUAAUCUAUUCGAAGAUUGCAAGCUCGUUUUUAAGAGAGAAAAGUAAAAAUACCUAUGUAACAAUUACCCCUGAAAGAAUCAUCCUUAAAACUCUUUGUUUGUAAAUACUUAGGUUAGUGUACUUUAUGUUGUAAGUAGGUACCUAUAAACAUAAAAAUAUAAUAUAAGAUGAUGACGAUUGUUAUAUAAAAAGUUAGCAGCAGUGGAGAAAAUAAAUAAGAAUAUGAUAUACAUAAUAGUUUCAUUUAUUCAUACCUACCAAAUCACCAGACAGGUAACUUAGACCUUCGUCACACUUGAUGGAAAUUAAGUCGUGGAUCUUCCGCAACGGAACGCCGAUACAAAUAUUUGUAUAAAAAUUACAAAUAGCAGGCACACACAGGCAGGUUAUUUACCGCAACGGAAGUUCGGCGUCGGAAUUUCCGCCAAGUGUGGCGAAGGUCUUACUGUUUCAACGAGUACCGACAUGUUGGAUACCUAAGUAUACUAUAUUGUCUUGCACAAUCAUUGAAAUUAAUCACCGUAGAUUCAAAAUUUAUAGGAUAAAAAGUAGCCUUUGCGUUAAUGCGGUAGCUAUGUGAUAUAUCUAGCUACCAAAUUUCAUCCGUUCAGCUCUUUAGGGGUUUCGCAUUUAUAACAUUAGUGUGAUGAAAUAAGUACUUAGAUAAAUACUUCCUUUAAUUAUAAUCGCUAGUCUCCAUUUUUCAUGUUUAAACUUGUUAACGUGAAAUACAACGCGACAAUGAAAACCUAAGCGAUUUUGAGUGUGCACGUGCGGUAACAUGAGAAGGCGCAUAUGUGCGGGGCAACGCGGCGACCGCGACGUUGCAUCAUAAUUUAUUUCAUUUCUAUUUCGCUUCUCGUUAGUGCAACACCUUCGAAAAUGUCCGCGUCCAUGCCGAAAAUGAGUUUUCUCGCUAUAGUGGGGGAUGAAGUCCCAAAAUUUACAGUAUCAAUACAAAUUCAUCGUCUUCGCCGAGAUGGAGAUAAGAUCAAAGAAAAAACUCUUGUGAGAAGUAUAUACGGCGCGCAUGAUAAAGAAGAUCGAGUGCUGGCAUCCGCGCUGUACUCAUGUUACCUGAUGUCAAAGGAGCUGGGUGAACAAGUUGAAACUUGUAGCUUAAAUAAGUAUGAACAGUUACUCGUGGAGAAAGACGUAGACACCGUUGACGGUUAAAAAUCAUCAUCAUAAUUUCGAAGGUGUAGCACUAAAAGCGGUGCCUGCUAAGUACUUUGAACAUGUCGAAUAAUUUAACAAACGUUAACGAAGAUGAUUUAUUCUACCCUUACGCGCAAGAUCCGCUUGCUGACUUCGAUGAAAGGUAUCCUGUUCAAGCGACUACCACAAAAUCGACGGCGCCUCAUGAUAACAAGAGUCAAAAGCUGAAAAGUGAUAAGAAGAAGA
Molecule: long non-coding RNA, 2263 nt
Organism: Pectinophora gossypiella (pink bollworm)
Lineage: Eukaryota; Metazoa; Arthropoda; Insecta; Lepidoptera; Gelechiidae
Exons: 3
Source: RefSeq, a predicted model, not a curated record